GUGAUAACUACACUGCCAUUUUUGCUCGAAGCAGGCUGUGUAGAGGUAAUUGUUUCCCUAUUACGCGAUGCAUCUGUCUCAUUGAUAGCUCUCAUUGCAUCAAGAACAUAGCCAGGAGAAGAACUAGAUACAACGAAGUAUUUAGCCAGUGUAGCAACAAGCAGCAGCAAAUAAACUGCCAUGUACCAGGGGGCUUGUUUAGUUUUUUGAAUCAACUCUUUG
Molecule: unclassified non-coding RNA, 222 nt
Filed under: Hevea brasiliensis (rubber tree)
Lineage: Eukaryota; Viridiplantae; Streptophyta; Magnoliopsida; Malpighiales; Euphorbiaceae
Source: RNAcentral